RNAcentral lists this ribosomal RNA (732 nucleotides) under uncultured beta proteobacterium. Its description in RNAcentral is "bacterial SSU rRNA". It matches the Rfam family "Bacterial small subunit ribosomal RNA", at positions 28 to 757 of the family's 1533-position model. The record is from RNAcentral. Lineage: Bacteria; Pseudomonadati; Pseudomonadota; Betaproteobacteria.
AUUGAACGCUGGCGGCAUGCCUUACACAUGCAAGUCGAACGGUAACAGGUCUUCGGAUGCUGACGAGUGGCGAACGGGUGAGUAAUACAUCGGAACGUGCCCGAGAGUGGGGGAUAACGAAGCGAAAGCUUUGCUAAUACCGCAUACGAUCUCAGGAUGAAAGCAGGGGACCGCAAGGCCUUGCGCUCACGGAGCGGCCGAUGGCAGAUUAGGUAGUUGGUGGGAUAAAAGCUUACCAAGCCGACGAUCUGUAGCUGGUCUGAGAGGACGACCAGCCACACUGGGACUGAGACACGGCCCAGACUCCUACGGGAGGCAGCAGUGGGGAAUUUUGGACAAUGGGCGCAAGCCUGAUCCAGCCAUGCCGCGUGCAGGAUGAAGGCCUUCGGGUUGUAAACUGCUUUUGUACGGAACGAAAAGACUCUGGUUAAUACCUGGGGUCCAUGACGGUACCGUAAGAAUAAGCACCGGCUAACUACGUGCCAGCAGCCGCGGUAAUACGUAGGGUGCGAGCGUUAAUCGGAAUUACUGGGCGUAAAGCGUGCGCAGGCGGUUAUGUAAGACAGAUGUGAAAUCCCCGGGCUCAACCUGGGAACUGCAUUUGUGACCGCAUAGCUAGAGUACGGCAGAGGGGGAUGGAAUUCCGCGUGUAGCAGUGAAAUGCGUAGAUAUGCGGAGGAACACCGAUGGCGAAGGCAAUCCCCUGGGCCUGUACUGACGCUCAUGCACGAA